This 900-nucleotide long non-coding RNA is filed under the name Rattus norvegicus (Norway rat). RNAcentral's name for it is "long non-coding RNA NONRATT025736". The record is from RNAcentral. Lineage: Eukaryota; Metazoa; Chordata; Mammalia; Rodentia; Muridae.
UUGCGAAUUCCUGAAGUGGGUGCUGGGAACCGAACCGGCUGCAAGAGCAGCGAGUGCUCCUAACCACGCGUCCCCACCAGUCGGGUUAGGUAUGUUGGUUUUAGAAAAGUCUCACUAUGUAGCCCUGGCUGGACUGGAAUCAACUAAGCAGACCAAGCUGCCCUUGAAUUCACGAACAUCCACCCAGCCUCCCCAGCCCACCUCACAGGUCUAGGAUCAAAGGUGGGCUGUCGUCCAGGCCACUUGUUUUGGUUCUUAAUGGAAUGGAGAUUGCUGUGGAAGAAGUGAAAAGAAACUCAUGGUUUUUGGCUUGUAUAAGGUUUUGACUGUGUGUAAAAGAAGACUAGCUUAGCUGAUAUGUCCAUAUUUAUAGGAUUCCUAGUUUUAAUAAUAAUCACAUCACAGUGAGAAGUAACUCCAAGUCCUUAUUCUUUUCAUUUGGACAGCAGGAAGCUGUUGUGAUUAAUGACAUUUCUCUUCUUUUAAAAGCUCUUAACAGAAAAUUCUCCUGACCAGGGACCAAAUAAGGUCUUUGACCUUUGCGUUGUGUGUGGAGACAAAGCAUCAGGUAUGAUUAAAAAUAACCGCACACCAUUACACAAUGUAUGACAAAACUAUGUGUAAGUUUUCUCAGUUAAAAAUUUUAACAUGCAUAAUAGAAUUUUUGAUAAUGAUUUUAUUGUCUUUUCUAAGUUCUCUAACAUUUUUUUACUUAAUGGUUAACUAUUGAAUGCUUACUAAAUCACCAGCACAGGAUUAAAAAUCUUAUGUUUUCAUUUUUAUGCACUCUAACAUUUUUAAUGCUACAUUAUAGAAUGUAAAACUCUGUAUCAUUAUUAAACCCACCACCGGAUAUGGUUGUUUGAAUUUCUACUUAAAUAAAUCCUAAAAAAAAAAAAA